RNAcentral lists this ribosomal RNA (769 nucleotides) under uncultured Pseudoalteromonadaceae bacterium. RNAcentral's name for it is "bacterial SSU rRNA". It matches the Rfam family "Bacterial small subunit ribosomal RNA", at positions 28 to 776 of the family's 1533-position model. The record is from RNAcentral. Lineage: Bacteria; Pseudomonadati; Pseudomonadota; Gammaproteobacteria; Alteromonadales; Pseudoalteromonadaceae.
AUUGAACGCUGGCGGCAGGCCUAACACAUGCAAGUCGAGCGGAAACGAGUUAUCUAAACCUUCGGGGAACGAUAACGGCGUCGAGCGGCGGACGGGUGAGUAAUGCCUAGGAAAUUGCCCUGAUGUGGGGGAUAACCAUUGGAAACGAUGGCUAAUACCGCAUGAUGCCUACGGGCCAAAGAGGGGGACCUUCGGGCCUCUCGCGUCAGGAUAUGCCUAGGUGGGAUUAGCUAGUUGGUGAGGUAAGGGCUCACCAAGGCAACGAUCCCUAGCUGGUCUGAGAGGAUGAUCAGCCACACUGGAACUGAGACACGGUCCAGACUCCUACGGGAGGCAGCAGUGGGGAAUAUUGCACAAUGGGCGCAAGCCUGAUGCAGCCAUGCCGCGUGUGUGAAGAAGGCCUUCGGGUUGUAAAGCACGUUCAGUCGUGAGGAAGGUAGUGUGUUUAAUAGAUGCAUUAUUUGACGUUAGCGACAGAAGAAGCACCGGCUAACUCCGUGCCAGCAGCCGCGGUAAUACGGAGGGUGCGAGCGUUAAUCGGAAUUACUGGGCGUAAAGCGCAUGCAGGUGGUUUGUUAAGUCAGAUGUGAAGGCCCGGGGCUCAACCUCGGAAUAGCAUUUGAAACUGGCAGACUAGAGUACUGUAGAGGGGGGUAGAAUUUCAGGUGUAGCGGUGAAAUGCGUAGAGAUCUGAAGGAAUACCGGUGGCGAAGGCGGCCCCCUGGACAGAUACUGACACUCAGAUGCGAAAGCGUGGGGAGCAAACAGG